AUGACUCCCUUGACUAUAUAUAUGAUAAAAUUAGAAUGAUAUAGAGAAGAUUAACAUGAUCGUUGCGCAAGAAUAACGGUCACGAAUACAAAGAAUUUUUUUUU
Molecule: small nuclear RNA, 104 nt
Organism: Hibiscus syriacus
Lineage: Eukaryota; Viridiplantae; Streptophyta; Magnoliopsida; Malvales; Malvaceae
Source: RefSeq, a predicted model, not a curated record